Molecule: ribosomal RNA, 500 nt
Filed under: Clostridioides difficile
Lineage: Bacteria; Bacillati; Bacillota; Clostridia; Peptostreptococcales; Peptostreptococcaceae
Description: bacterial LSU rRNA
Rfam family: Bacterial large subunit ribosomal RNA
Source: RNAcentral
UGGUCAAGUUAUUAAGGGUGCAGGGCGGAUGCCUUGGCACUAGGAGCCGAUGAAGGACGUGAUAAGCUGCGAUAAGCUUCGGGGAGUUGCACGUAAACUUUGAUCCGAAGAUUUCCGAAUGAGGAAACUCACUUAGAGUAAUGUCUAAGUAUCAUUAAGUGAAUACAUAGCUUAAUGAGGGGAACUCAGGGAACUGAAACAUCUAAGUACCUGAAGGAAGAGAAAGAAAUUCGAUUCCGUAAGUAGCGGCGAGCGAACGCGGAUUAGCCCAAACCAAUAAAGUUUUCUUUAUUGGGGUUGCGGACAUAUCAUAACGAAGAGGUAUCGUAAUUGAAGAGGUUUGGAACGACCCACCACAGAAGGUAAUAGUCCUGUAUGUUAAACGAGAAGACUUUAGAUAUGAUCCAGAGUACCACGGGACACGUGAAACCCUGUGGGAAGCAGGAGGGACCACCCUCCAAGGCUAAAUACUACCUAGUGACCGAUAGCGUAUAGUACCG